AACCUUUAGCCAAACAAGUAUUAAAGGCAAUGCCUGCCCGGUGAAUAAUUAAACGGCCGCGGUACCCUAACCGUGCAAAGGUAGCGUAAUCACUUGUCUAUUAAUUGUAGACCCGUAUGAAAGGCAAAAUGAGGGCCUAACUGUCUCUUAUAAUAAAUCAAUUAAACUGAUCUCCCAGUCCAAAAGCUGGAAUUCUAACAUAAGACCAGAAGACCCUGUGAAGCUUAAACUAAACUACUAAAACUAGUAGUAGCUCCUUUCGGUUGGGGCGACCUUGGAAAAUAAAACAACUUCCAAAUAUAUGAAUCUCAUCAUUCAUACUAAGGCUUACAAGCCAAAAAUUAGACCCAGCACAGCUGACCAUUGAACCAAGUUACUCCAGGGAUAACAGCGCUAUCCUCUUCAAGAGCCCAUAUCAAAAAGAGGGUUUACGACCUCGAUGUUGGAUCAGGACAUCCCAAUGGUGCAACCGCUAUUAAAGGUUCGUUUGUUCAACGAUUAACAGUCCU
This 509-nucleotide ribosomal RNA is filed under the name Atractaspis corpulenta. RNAcentral describes it as "partial 16S ribosomal RNA". It matches the Rfam family "Bacterial large subunit ribosomal RNA", at positions 1816 to 2597 of the family's 2925-position model. Lineage: Eukaryota; Metazoa; Chordata; Lepidosauria; Squamata; Atractaspididae. The record is from RNAcentral.